GAGCGAGCUAAAAGAUGGAGCAUCCAUGAGUAAAGCGGCGGCACGGGUGAGCUAACACGUGACUAUACCUACCCUCGAGCGGGGAAUGACCUGGGGAAACCCGGGCCUAUACCGCAUAACACCUACGGGUCACAGGAGCAAUCCACUUGAGGAGGGGGUCGCGGCAGAUUAGUCAGUUGGCGGGGAAAUGGCCCACCAAGACGAUGAUCUGUCUUCCGGCCUGAGAGGGCGCCAGGUACACACUGGAACUUGAACACCGUCACCCACUC
Molecule: ribosomal RNA, 269 nt
Filed under: uncultured forest soil bacterium
Lineage: Bacteria
Description: partial 16S ribosomal RNA
Rfam family: Bacterial small subunit ribosomal RNA
Source: RNAcentral